Molecule: ribosomal RNA, 420 nt
Filed under: uncultured bacterium
Lineage: Bacteria
Description: bacterial SSU rRNA
Rfam family: Bacterial small subunit ribosomal RNA
Source: RNAcentral
AUUGAACGCUGGCGGAAUGCUUUACACAUGCAAGUCGAACGGCAGCACGGGGCAACCUGGUGGCGAGUGGCGAACGGGUGAGUAAUACAUCGGAACGUGCCCAAUCGUGGGGAUAACGUAGCGAAAGUUACGCUAAUACCGCAUACGAUCUACGGAUGAAAGCGGGGGAUCGCAAGACCUCGCGCGAGUGGAGCGGCCGAUGUCAGAUUAGGUAGUUGGUGGGGUAAAGGCUCACCAAGCCAACGAUCUGUAGCUGGUCUGAGAGGACGACCAGCCACACUGGAACUGAGACACGGUCCAGACUCCUACGGGAGGCAGCAGUGGGGAAUUUUGGACAAUGGGCGCAAGCCUGAUCCAGCCAUUCCGCGUGCAGGAUGAAGGCCUUCGGUUGUAAACUGCUUUUGUACGGUAACGAAACGG